This is a non-coding RNA of Aedes aegypti (yellow fever mosquito), 45 nucleotides long. The record is from Rfam. Lineage: Eukaryota; Metazoa; Arthropoda; Insecta; Diptera; Culicidae.
CCUUUGGCUCUUUUCAGGGCCACCAAAUGUAUGUAAGAGAGUUAA